This 1587-nucleotide long non-coding RNA is filed under the name Nicotiana tabacum (common tobacco). RNAcentral's name for it is "long non-coding RNA (NTAB_LNC014420)". The record is from RNAcentral. Lineage: Eukaryota; Viridiplantae; Streptophyta; Magnoliopsida; Solanales; Solanaceae.
AGGGUUUCCACCAACUUUGAGUAUCAUUAAUCAGAAGUAUUGGGUUCCUUGUUAUUCCGAGAGGAACAGGAAGUUGUUUACAGCAUUAAUACUCUCGAAUAUUGCUUGCGCGAAGCCAUUCUGCGGGAACUGAAGAUGCAACAUUUGAGGCCAUAGGAGUGCUCCUGAAAGAAUUGGCGUAUGGUGUAAAUAGUAAGUGACGAGACAUGUUCAAAGCAGAAAUUGAAGCCAAAGGGUACUUUUAUGCAAGCAGAUAUAUGCUCCCCUUGGGACAAUAUUUGUCGUUCAAUUGACGAAAUACUUAAAAGAGAGGAUCAUCAGCUUACCAAAGUCCUUUUUGGAGGUAUAGCGCCACAUCUUUUGUUAUUUUGGCAACAACUAUUGUACUAAACAAUGUCAAUGAGUAGUAACAACCUUCUUUGAUGGGAUUUGACAUUUCAAUCUUGUACAAAAUUGUCUGCUGAUGGUUUCUUUUGUAUCGGAAGUAUAACAGACAGAAACCAAUGUAAAGUAAUAUGAACUCCAAUUUCUGUUAUGGUUUCCAUGUUUCCCAAGUAACAUGCGAUCCUACAACUGUUAGGUUAAUAGGGGACAUUUUUGAAGCAGGAGCUUCAUCUACUCUUUCCGUGAGACUAGUCCAUGAUUUCUUUACUAUGAUCACAAGUAAUAUUAGCUCGCAAUUAAUAGAAAAUUUGUUAUGAUGCAUGUUCAAUGUCCUUCCUUUUUUUCUUUGGGGGGAGAGGGGGGAGGGAGGGGGGAGUUUGUUACAAUCUAUGUUUCUUAGCUUGUAUGGCUUUUUGUAAUGUUCAAGAUAUUAUCAGUAUGCUCAUUUAUUUGAUUCACUGAUCUUGGAUAAUUUAAUGUACACAAGUUGCUUGACCUUGGUUUAUACUACUCGAGUAUGUGAAACUUGAUUAUCCUUCAGAAUCUCACAUAGGGAAAUUCUUCAUUGCAGUUGCUGCACCGCCAUGCAUAUCCCAACGAUUAAAAUCAUUCAUCCAGUUGGCUGAUGCUUUAGACUGGAUGCGCCCCAUGUUCGCGAUCCCAAGCUUUUGUCCCUAGCAAAUAUACAGAACUCAAUACUUAAUUUUUGAUGCAGAGAAUGUUCACAAGUUGUCUCCGUGUGACCUAUUGAUUAGGGGUUCGAGCCAUGGAAUCAGCCACUGAUGCUUGCGUCAGGGUAGGUUGCCUACAUCACAUCCUCUUGGGGUGCGGUCCUUCCCCGGACCUUGCGUGAACGCGGGAUGCUUUGUGCACCGGGCUGCCUUUUAAGGUUCACAAGUUCUAUUUACCAUUGUUUAUCACAACAGAGUGCACAAAGCCCAAAAGGCAGCUGUGAGAUAUGAAAAGGGGAGAAUGUAACUAUGGUAAGUGACAAGAGCCCUGGAUAAGUGCAGGCUACAGUGGGGGAACAACUUACACCAAAACUAAAUUAUUACUUAUGACUUUGUUUGUAGGGCCAAAGGGUGUACAUAUUUUCCAUCAAUGGGCCAAAUUGAUAUUUUUCCUCUUCUGCUUGUUCUUUUUCACCAUGUUGUUAAACAGAGAUAAUGAAAAGAAAGGAAUUAUUGUAGUUGUUUAAACUGG